RNAcentral lists this ribosomal RNA (486 nucleotides) under uncultured bacterium. RNAcentral's name for it is "bacterial SSU rRNA". It matches the Rfam family "Bacterial small subunit ribosomal RNA", at positions 37 to 507 of the family's 1533-position model. The record is from RNAcentral.
AUUGAACGCGUGGCGGCAUGCCUUACACAUGCAAGUCGAGCGGCAGCACGGGAGCAAUCCUGGUGGCGAGUGGCGAACGGGUGAGUAAUAUAUCGGAACGUGCCCAGUCGUGGGGGAUAACGCAGCGAAAGCUGUGCUAAUACCGCAUACGAUCUCUGGAUGAAAGCGGGGGGAUCGCAAGACCUCGCGCUAUUGGAGCAGCCGAUGUCCGAUUAGGUAGUUGGUGGGGUAAAAGCCUACCAAGCCGACGAUCGGUAACUGGUCUGAGAGGACGACCAGUCACACUGGGACUGAGACACGGCCCAGACUCCUACGGGAGGCAGCAGUGGGGAAUUUUGGACAAUGGGGGAAACCCUGAUCCAGCAAUGCCGCGUGUGUGAAGAAGGCCUUCGGGUUGUAAAGCACUUUUGGCGGGAACGAAACGGCGCUAGCUAAUACCUGGCGCUAAUGACGGUACCCGCAGAAUAAGCACCGGCUAACUACGUG